Non-coding RNA from Triticum aestivum (bread wheat), 138 nucleotides. The record is from Rfam. Lineage: Eukaryota; Viridiplantae; Streptophyta; Magnoliopsida; Poales; Poaceae.
CUACUACUCCCUCUAUCCCAAAAAUUUUCUUGUCUUAGAUUUGUCUAAAUACGGAUGUAUAUAGUUACAUUUUAGUGUUAAAUACAUCCGUAUCUAGACAGAUCUAAGACAAAAAAUUUAAGACGGAGGGAGCACAUG